GGUGAACGCUGGCGGCGUGCCUAAUACAUGCAAGUCGAGCGAACGGACGAGAAGCUUGCUUCUCUGAUGUUAGCGGCGGACGGGUGAGUAACACGUGGAUAACCUACCUAUAAGACUGGGAUAACUUCGGGAAACCGGAGCUAAUACCGGAUAAUAUUUUGAACCGCAUGGUUCAAAAGUGAAGGACGGUCUUGCUGUCACUUAUAGAUGGAUCCGCGCUGCAUUAGCUAGUUGGUAAGGUAACGGCUUACCAAGGCAACGAUGCAUAGCCGACCUGAGAGGGUGAUCGGCCACACUGGAACUGAGGCACGGUCCAGACUCCUACGGGAGGCAGCAGUAGGGAAUCUUCCGCAAUGGGCGAAAGCCUGACGGAGCAACGCCGCGUGAGUGAUGAAGGUCUUCGGAUCGUAAAACUCUGUUAUUAGGGAAGAACAUAUGUGUAAGUAACUGUGCACAUCUUGACGGUACCUAAUCAGAAAGCCACGGCUAACUACGUGCCAGCAGCCGCGGUAAUACGUAGGUGGCAAGCGUUAUCCGGAAUUAUUGGGCGUAAAGCGCGCGUAGGCGGUUUUUUAAGUCUGAUGUGAAAGCCCACAGCUCAACCGUGGAGGGUCAUUGGAAACUGGAAAACUUGAGUGCAGAAGAGGAAAGUGGAAUUCCAUGUGUAGCGGUGAAAUGCGCAGAGAUAUGGAGGAACACCAGUGGCGAAGGCGACUUUCUGGUCUGUAACUGACGCUGAUGUGCGAAAGCGUGGGGAUCAAACAGGAUUAGAUACCCUGGUAGUUCACGCCGUAAACGAUGAGUGCUAAGUGUUAGGGGGUUUCCGCCCCUUAGUGCUGCAGCUAACGCAUUAAGCACUCCGCCUGGGGAGUACGACCGCAGGGUUGAAACUCAAAGGAAUUGACGGGGACCCGCACAAGCGGUGGAGCAUGUGGUUUAAUUCGAAGCAACGCGAAGAACCUUACCAAAUCUUGACAUCCUUUGACAACUCUAGAGAUAGAGCUUUCCCCUUCGGGGGACAAAGUGACAGGUGGUGCAUGGUUGUCGUCAGCUCGUGUCGUGAGAUGUUGGGUUAAGUCCCGCAACGAGCGCAACCCUUAAGCUUAGUUGCCAUCAUUAAGUUGGGCACUCUAAGUUGACUGCCGGUGACAAACCGGAGGAAGGUGGGGAUGACGUCAAAUCAUCAUGCCCCUUAUGAUUUGGGCUACACACGUGCUACAAUGGACAAUACAAAGGGCAGCGAAACCGUGAGGUCAAGCAAAUCCCAUAAAGUUGUUCUCAGUUCGGAUUGUAGUCUGCAACUCGACUACAUGAAGCUGGAAUCGCUAGUAAUCGUAGAUCAGCAUGCUACGGUGAAUACGUUCCCGGGUCU
RNAcentral lists this ribosomal RNA (1372 nucleotides) under uncultured bacterium. Its description in RNAcentral is "bacterial SSU rRNA". It matches the Rfam family "Bacterial small subunit ribosomal RNA", at positions 28 to 1381 of the family's 1533-position model. The record is from RNAcentral.